CAGACAGUUGGUCAGGACUAUACACAGCACAAUUACCAUAAGCAGUUUGUUCCAUGUAAAUGACACCAUACUUGCAAACUCACAGCUAAAACUUUAACGUUAAAUGAACUUGCAAAGAUGCUUACACUACCUCUUGAAGCAGGGGGGAAUGCUUAUACUUUAUACUAACAUAACAACUACUACACAGACUAGUCUUUAUCUUAAACUAUUAUUUAACUACUUUUAACACACAUGCUCUGGUAUAUAUGUAGUCUAAGCGUGAAAGCAAUUUGUUGAAAGGACAAACACACAACUACAAUUUGCUUUAUAUAGAGUUAGAUGGAGUUUCUACACUUUUCUUAGAUCUUCUACAGAAUUUCUCUCACAAACAGACUAUGAUUUAACACGAUUCAGUCUUGAAACAUCUGCUGCUCUGGU
This is a non-coding RNA of Cyanistes caeruleus (blue tit), 417 nucleotides long. The record is from RefSeq and is a predicted model, not a curated record. Lineage: Eukaryota; Metazoa; Chordata; Aves; Passeriformes; Paridae.